AUUUAAUCUUCUGCCAAUGUUAGUACUGCUAAGUCGAAACAUUGUGUAAGCACGAUUCCACUGAAGGUCUUGUAAUUUGGUUCUUGGACCUCGUAUAAACACAGGUGAGGCAAUCAAUCUUUACCAACACUUACUGUAAAACAUUAAAUGGAUUAUUUAUGAAAACAGCUACAGGUAUGCACGUAAAAACUGAGCUUUCAUUUCUUCAUAUACAGUAUCUGUAGU
Molecule: non-coding RNA, 225 nt
Organism: Pelobates cultripes (western spadefoot toad)
Lineage: Eukaryota; Metazoa; Chordata; Amphibia; Anura; Pelobatidae
Source: the annotation of a GenBank genome assembly